AUGAGCAGCUGUGCCUUAAACCACGGGGACUCCGCACUCAGCUGCUCAGAGAAGGGCGGGUCUGUGCGCAGUAAGAACAGGGGCAGUUCCCACCAGAGAAGCGCGUCCGUCCUGCUCCGCCCGGGCCUGCUGUGGGCGCUCAUGGCCGCCUUUGGCUUCAGAUCCAGCAUGGCUGACACAGUAACUCAAGCUCAGACUGCAGUAACAGCGCGGGAAGGAGAAGCUGCGACCAUAGACUGCACAUAUCAAAUCUCUCGGUCUAGGUAUACUUUGUACUGGUACAGACAGUUUACCGGUGGAAGAAUGGAAUUCCUUAUUUAUCAGGAUGAUAAUAAAGCAAAUGCAAGGAGGGAUCGCUACUCUGUAAACUUUCAACGGACAAGAAGAUUCAUCAGCCUUACCAUCUCUUCCUUGCACCUGGCUGACUCCGCGAAGUAUUUCUGUGCUCUCUGGGAAUACCACAGUGGUAAAAAUGAUAGUAGCGGAUAA
Non-coding RNA from Dama dama (fallow deer), 489 nucleotides. NCBI's taxonomy places the organism in Eukaryota, Metazoa, Chordata, Mammalia, Artiodactyla, Cervidae. The record is from the annotation of a RefSeq genome assembly.